AUGUGUCUAGAACACUGUGUGACUGUAAUUUCACCUUGUUUAAAGGUAAUUCUGUGGAGUCUUCAAAAAGCCCGUCCUGUCUGGAUUACAAAUUUACAGGAGGAUGAAACAGAGGAAACGGAAGGUCCCCAGUCCCCCGGUCGGCUCCUAAACCCCGCACUAGCCCACUCUGUCGCUGUGGCAUCGUGCGGCAAUCUUUUUAGCUGUGGUGCGGAGGAUGGUAAGGUGCGCAUCUUCAGGGUGAUGGGAGUCAAAUGUGAGCGAGAACUGGGAUUUAAGGGUCACACUUUGGGAGUAUCCCAGGUCUGCUUUCUGCCCGAGUCCCAUCUGCUGCUUACUGGGGGAAAUGAUGGGAAGAUAAGAUUGUGGGAUGUGAACAGUAAGACGGAGAAGCCCCAGAAGAGUCCUGUGAAGCACACCUACAGGAAGAAAGCAAAGAGGGCGGCGUGCCCCACGCAGGGUGCGAACUCUGGAGCCCCUGGAGCAGAGGAUGAGGGACAUGCAAAGAUUCUGCCGAAGCUCGAUAUUGAACACGGAGAAAAAGUGAACUGGCUCUUGAGUACAAAAAUAAAAGGGAACAGAAGCAUAUUAGUGGCUGAUCAGACGAGUUGUGUGUCUGUGUAUACCCUAAAUGAACUUUAGGUCCAAUUAAAUGCAUUGCAAAAAUCAA
RNA transcript from Grammomys surdaster, 670 nucleotides. It is a transcript of the gene named WD repeat-containing protein 53 pseudogene, with no coding region annotated. The record is from RefSeq and is a predicted model, not a curated record. The transcript has a single exon. NCBI's taxonomy places the organism in Eukaryota, Metazoa, Chordata, Mammalia, Rodentia, Muridae.